GGGCCCGUAGCGCAGAAUGGAUAGCGCACCGGCCUUCUAAGUCGGUGGUCGUGGGUUCAAGUCCCACCGGGCCCGC
RNAcentral lists this transfer RNA (76 nucleotides) under archaeon HR01. RNAcentral's name for it is "tRNA-Arg". It matches the Rfam family "tRNA". Rfam says of the family: Transfer RNA (tRNA) molecules are approximately 80 nucleotides in length. The record is from RNAcentral.